This 445-nucleotide ribosomal RNA is filed under the name uncultured bacterium. Its description in RNAcentral is "bacterial SSU rRNA". It matches the Rfam family "Bacterial small subunit ribosomal RNA", at positions 354 to 796 of the family's 1533-position model. The record is from RNAcentral.
GUAGGGAAUAUUGGGCAAUGGAGGCAACUCUGACCCAGCCAUGCCGCGUGCAGGAAGACGGUCCUCUGGAUUGUAAACUGCUUUUGAAUGGGAAGAAACGUAGCUUUGCGAAGCUAUUUGACGGUACUAUUAGAAUAAGCACCGGCUAACUCCGUGCCAGCAGCCGCGGUAAUACGGAGGGUGCAAGCGUUAUCCGGAUUUAUUGGGUUUAAAGGGUGCGUAGGCGGCUUUAUAAGUCUGGGGUUAAAGGCGGCAGCUUAACUGUACGCAUGCCCUGGAAACUGUGAAGCUUGAGUGACUUGGAGGUAGCUAGAAUUCCCUGUGUAGCGGUGAAAUGCAUAGAUACGGGGAGGAAUACCGAUUGCGAAGGCAUGUUACUACGAGUAAACUGACGCUGAUGCACGAAAGCGUGGGGAUCAAACAGGAUUAGAAACCCUUGUAGUCC